Amphibalanus amphitrite is the source of this 671-nucleotide RNA transcript. It is a transcript of the gene named guanine nucleotide-binding protein subunit gamma-1-like, with no coding region annotated. Lineage: Eukaryota; Metazoa; Arthropoda; Thecostraca; Balanomorpha; Balanidae. The transcript has 4 exons. The record is from RefSeq and is a predicted model, not a curated record.
UUGGCGCAGUUCGUCGAUACCCUGGUUCGUCGCAUCGCUUUGGCUUGUUUACUGAAGGAAAUAAAAAAAAAACUCAAUUCGGUCAAUUGAGAAAAAGGAGGGGCCGUCAAAGAUGUCGAACGUACAGCAGCAGCGUAUCCUGGUGGACCAGCUACGCCGCGAGGCCAACAUUCGGCGCAUCAACGUCUCCAUCGCCGUGGAGGACAUCAAGAAAUACAUCACCGACCACGAGCAGGAUGACUACCUACUGGUGGGCUUCUCGUCUCAGAAGGCCAACCCCUUCCGCGAAAAGUCGUCAUGCAGUGUGCUUUAACAAAGGUAUUACUUUCUACUGAUUUUCGCGCCUAUUGGCGCUUUCAUUGUGGCACAGCCGACUGCCGCGCGCUAUGCUUCGCUUCUCCAGGAGCCGGGCCGGCGGGGGAGGCCGACUGGCCGGCCACCCACUGCUGGCCGUCCCGCCGCGCGCCCGUGUCUCCUCUCUGUACGUGUUGGUGUCCGCCGGACGUCGGAGCGCCCCGCACGCUUUUGUCGUGUCAACGCCGGCGCUGAACUGUUUUAGGACGUGAUUGACUCUGCCCACCGGCACAAAAACGAUCGUUGACGAAUAAACCGAAAACUGUAGACGUGUAACGAUGAUGAUGGUGUUAUUGGUCAACACGAAUUACAAACCA